Molecule: RNA transcript, 4292 nt
Organism: Cottoperca gobio
Lineage: Eukaryota; Metazoa; Chordata; Actinopteri; Perciformes; Bovichtidae
Gene name: matrilin-3-like
Exons: 20
Source: RefSeq, a predicted model, not a curated record
GGACCGAGGUGCAUCCACACCAGAGGCGGACGGAACACAACUGUGCGCGGGCGACAUGACCUCAUUAAUGUGCAGACUGCUCUGCUUCAUUGGCAUCCUGGCGUCGGGAACUCUGGGAACUUUCCCACAGUUUGGGUCACGCAACCGGCAGAUCCACUCAAUAAUCUCUUUAAUCCCGCGAGAGUCCUCGCAAGUCCCUCCAAGAGUCCAUCAGCGCUUUGAAGAGAUCAAAUCCAUCGAACUAACCUCUGAUGAAGAACCGAGCGCUGAACGUUUUCAAGAGGUCCAGCUGGGUGGUCACACAGCACGAGGCUUCCAGCAGCAGCAGGGGGCCCGAGCAGGUGCCAACAACUACCUGGCGCAGGAGAGACGAAGAGCUGACAGUGGAGCUGGUGGCACUAAUUCCGGGUUUCAUCACUAUCAGUCCUCCCAUGACCAGCCGCUCUCACAGCUGCAACACAAAGCUGUAUCCUGGCAGCUUGCAGGGGACGCCAGUGUCUCUCCUGCAUCCAUCAGAGCUGACACAGCAACAAGAUCUAACUGCAGAAAUCGUCCUAUAGACCUGGUCUUCAUCAUAGACAGCUCCCGCAGUGUACGCCCCGCUGAGUUUGAAAAGGCCAAAGAGUUCCUGCAAGACAUGGUGGAGAGCUUGGAGGUCGGCUCAGACGCCACGCGAGUUGGCCUCGUCAAUUAUGCCAGCACGGUGCAGAUUGAGUUUCUUCUGAACACGUAUUUUGCCAAGUCUGCCUUGAAGCAGGCCCUGGCCCGUGUCGAGCCCCUUGCUUCAGGCACCAUGACAGGCAUGGCCAUCAAGACUGCCAUGGAGAAAGCUUUCACCGCGGCGGCAGGAGCCCGUGCUAGCUCCACGAACAUUGCCAAAGUAGCCAUCAUAGUGACAGACGGGAGGCCCCAGGACAAGGUGGAGGAUGUAUCAGCCGCAGCUCGGGCAUCUGGCAUCGAGAUCUAUGCAGUGGGAGUAGACCGAGCUGAUAUGAUGUCCCUGCGCCUCAUGGCCAGCCAGCCACAUGAUGACCAUGUCUUCUACGUGGAGACCUAUGGUGUCAUUGAGAAGCUCACUUCCAAAUUUAGGGAAACCUUGUGUGGUAAGGAUGAUGAUAAUGGGAGUGCGGAUAUUCCAUUAGAUGGCGGAAUUGAUGAUUAUGGACUAGGUGGCAGAAAAGACGGUAAAGGAAUAAAUAAUGAAAAAGAGGAUAAAGGAAACAACGGUUUGGAUGCCUGUGCUCAGGGACACAACUGCCAGCACAUUUGUGUCAACAAUGGAAACUCAUAUAACUGCAAGUGUCGCAACGGCUAUGUCUUGAACCCAGACAAGAGAACAUGCUCACGUUCAGAUACAUGUGCCCAAGGUCAUGACUGCCAACAUGUCUGUGUCAGCAAUGAUGACUCGUACCUUUGCAAGUGUCGUAAGGGAUAUGUGUUGAAUGCAGACCAGAAAACAUGCUCACAUUUGGAUUCAUGUUCCCAGGGACAUGAUUGCCAACAUAUUUGUGUCAGCACUGAUGAUUCGUACAUCUGCAAAUGUCGAAUGGGAUAUUUGUUGAAUGUAGACCAGAAAACAUGCUCACAUUUGGAUACAUGUGUCCAAGGACAUGACUGCCAGCAUAUUUGUGUCAAAAACAACGAUUCUUACCUCUGUGUUUGUCACGAGGGACAUGUGUUGAAUGCAGACAAGAAAACAUGCUCACGUUCAGAUACAUGUGCCCAAGGACAUGACUGCCAACAUAUCUGUGUCAGCAAUGAUGACUCGUACUUCUGCAAAUGUCAAGGAGGUUAUAUGUUGAAUGCAGACCAGAAAACAUGCUCACGUUUGGAUUCAUGUUCUCAGGGACAUGACUGCCAGCAUAUGUGUGUCAGCACUAACGAUUCGUACAUCUGCAAAUGUCGUAUGGGAUAUGUUUUGAAUGCAGACCAGAAAACAUGCUCACGCUCUGAUCUGUGUGCCCAUGGACAUGAUUGCCAGCACAUUUGUGAAAACAAUGAGGAAUCGUACAUCUGCAAGUGUCGUGUGGGAUAUAAGUUAAAUGCAGACCAAAAAACUUGCUCACGUUUGGAUACAUGCGACCAGGGACAUGACUGCCAGCAUAUUUGUGUCACAACUGUUGAUUCAUACCUUUGCAAGUGUCGUGAGGGAUAUGUGUUGAAUGCGGACCAGAAAACAUGCUCACGUUCAGAUACAUGUGCCCAGAGACAUGACUGCCAACAUUUUUGCAUCAACAAUGAUGCUUCGUACAUCUGCAAAUGUCAAGUGGGAUAUGAGUUGAAUGCAGACCAGAAAACCUGCUCACGUUUGGAUACAUGUGCCCAGGGACAUGACUGCCAGCAUAUUUGUGUCAAAAAUGGUGAUUCUCACCUUUGCACAUGUCAUGACGGAUAUGUGUUGAAUGCAGACCAGAAAACAUGCUCACGUUCUGAUCCAUGUGUCCGUGGACAUGAUUGCCAGCACAUGUGUAUAAACAGUGAUGACUCGUACAUCUGCAAAUGUCAAGUGGGAUAUGAGUUGAAUGCAGACCAGAAAACCUGCUCACGUUUGGAUACAUGUGCCCAGGGACAUGACUGCCAGCAUAUUUGUGUCAAAAAUGGUGAUUCUCACCUUUGCACAUGUCAUGACGGAUAUGUGUUGAAUGCAGACCAGAAAACAUGCUCACGUUCUGAUCCAUGUGUCCGUGGACAUGAUUGCCAGCACAUGUGUAUAAACAGUGAUGACUCGUACAUCUGCAAGUGUCGAACAGGAUAUAUUUUGAAUCCUGACAAGAAAACAUGCUCACGUUCAGAUACAUGUUCCCAGGGACAUGAUUGCCAACAUAUUUGUGUCAGCGAUAACGACUCGUUUGUCUGCAAGUGUCGAAUGGGAUAUGUAUUGAAUGCAGACCGGAAAACAUGCUCACGUUCAUCUUUGGAUGCAUGUGCCCAAGGAAAUAACUGCCAGCACAUUUGUGUCAACAAUGGGAACUCAUACAUCUGCAAGUGUCGAGUGGGAUACAUGUUGAACAUGGAUCAGAAGACAUGCUCACGUUCCAAUGCAUGUGCUCAGGGACAUGACUGUCAGCACAUUUGUAUCAACAACGGUGACUCGUACAACUGCAAGUGUCAAGUGGGAUACGUGUUGAAUGCAGAUCAGAAAACAUGCUCACGUAAGGUUCUGGAUCAUCUUUUCAACAAACAAAAUGGUGCAUGUGUAUUUAAACCUUUCUAGAGAUUUCCCAUAUUUUGAAUCAGUUCUAGCCUAAAUAAUCUUUCCCCCAACCGUCUUAUAUUAUUGCCUUGUGAGCUCUCUUGUACAACUAGUGUUGGGCACUAGUUGAGACAAUGUGCCAGACUGGCACUAACUUUGGAGUCCUCAAAGGUACAAGGAGCAACCAGGUUUCAACAGCUGACCGGAGGCUACUUGAAUACUGUUUCUCUAUAAAACUUGAAGAGGCUUUAUCAAAGACGGGUGCUUGACUUGACAAGAGCUAUUCGAAACCAUGCAAGACGAUUUAAGCUGUGGAGACAUCUGCAGUUGACUGCAUUCAAAACCACUAUCCAACGACAAGCAAUACUUCUACUGAUCCAGUCAUUAACAGCACAGUUUAAAGGACAUACAAGUGUGCUGUGCUGCUGGUCGAAGGAAUGAGGCACUGCAAUAGAAGUUGUGGUGGGAGCCCACUGAGAACUUUGGUCCAAGUGAAGGACCAAACAAUAUUGGUUGUAAUUGAUUUGCCUAUUGUCUGUUGUGAUUGUAUAAUGUUUAGUGAAUUGGUCUUGUAUGUAUACGUGAGUAUAUUGCUCAAAUGAUUAUUAACAUGUGUCCUAUUUAACGCUAUCCAGUCCUCAGAAACUGAGCACUCCUAGGUUGUGAUUAUCUAGUUGAAUUGAUUGAAUUUAUUUUUUACAUAUUUCCUAAUCUCACUCACAAAAGAAAAAUCAUGAUUGUUCUUGAUCUCUUGCUAUAUUGAUCAAUCAAUAUCCAUUAUGUUUAUGUUUCCAUGUAAAAACAACACCUAACUUUUAUCUGAUUUCGUCAGCACCAAAAUUAAACAUCAGCAUCGACUCUUUUGGGGAGGGACAUAAAAUGGGUUAUGUUGUUUUUUUUAACUAAGCAGCCACAUGGAGUAUUACAAAGAGGCAUCACUAAACAUUGUGAAACACCAUUCUCAUGCUUUGACCUUUUCUAUAUUUUUUUCUCAUUCUUUCAGAGGAAAUGAGAAGCGAGAUAACUCAAGAUGCCUGCAUGUGUGAGGCUCAGAUUGUGUUCCAGAAGAAAGUACAGUCAACCAUUCAGGAGCUGAGCA